UACGGAGGGUGCAAGCGUUAAUCGGAAUUACUGGGCGUAAAGGGUGCGUAGGUGGUUUAAUAAGUUAUGUGUGAAAGCCCAGGGCUCAACUUUGGGAUGUCAGAUAAGACUGUUAGACUAGAGUAUGGGAGAGGGUAGUGGAAUUUCCGGUGUAGCGGUGAAAUGCGUAGAGAUCGGAAGGAACACCAGUGGCGAAGGCGGCUACCUGGCCUAAUACUGACACUGAGGCACGAAAGCGUGGGGAGCAAACAGGAUUAGAUACCCUGGUAGUCCACGCUGUAAACGAUGUCAACUAGCUGUUGGCCAUAUAAAGAUGGUGAGUGGCGAAGCAAACGCGAUAAGUUGACCGCCUGGGGAGUACGGUCGCAAGAUUAAA
Molecule: ribosomal RNA, 376 nt
Filed under: uncultured bacterium
Lineage: Bacteria
Description: bacterial SSU rRNA
Rfam family: Bacterial small subunit ribosomal RNA
Source: RNAcentral